RNAcentral lists this ribosomal RNA (600 nucleotides) under uncultured bacterium. RNAcentral's name for it is "bacterial SSU rRNA". It matches the Rfam family "Bacterial small subunit ribosomal RNA", at positions 724 to 1329 of the family's 1533-position model. The record is from RNAcentral.
GCUGACGAGUCCUUUACUGACGCUAAAGCUCGAAGGUGCGGGUAUCGAACAGGAUUAGAUACCCUGGUAGUCCGCACGGUAAACGAUGGAUGCCCGCUGUUGGCGAUACAAUGUCAGCGGCCAAGCGAAAGCGUUAAGCAUCCCACCUGGGGAGUACGCCGGCAACGGUGAAACUCAAAGGAAUUGACGGGGGCCCGCACAAGCGGAGGAACAUGUGGUUUAAUUCGAUGAUACGCGAGGAACCUUACCCGGGCUUGAACUGCCAGCGGACGAUACAGAGAUGUUGAGGCCCUUCGGGGCGCUGGUGGAGGUGCUGCAUGGUUGUCGUCAGCUCGUGCCGUGAGGUGUCGGCUUAAGUGCCAUAACGAGCGCAACCCCUUUCUUCAGUUGCCAUCAGGCAAUGCUGGGCACUCUGGAGACACUGCCGCCGUAAGGUGCGAGGAAGGUGGGGAUGACGUCAAAUCAGCACGGCCCUUACGUCCGGGGCUACACACGUGGAUGGGCGGUGGUACAGGGAGUCGGAAUGUAUCAAGUGCGGUCCAAUCAGGAAAGCCAUCCUCAGUAAUGAUUCGGGUCUGCAACCCGACGCCAUGAAGCAGG